Molecule: small nucleolar RNA, 127 nt
Organism: Calliphora vicina (urban bluebottle blowfly)
Lineage: Eukaryota; Metazoa; Arthropoda; Insecta; Diptera; Calliphoridae
Product: small nucleolar RNA SNORA15
Exons: 1
Source: RefSeq, a predicted model, not a curated record
GCAAGGAUUAAUUCCGUAUUUGUUGCAAGAUAACUUGUGCGGCCAGACACCAUGCUAUAAUAAAAUUUAUUUUGAGAUUUUUCAAGUUCGUGUCAUUUAUUCGAAUUUGUUAAAAUUUUGAACUAAA